GGGUGAGUAACGCGUGGGUAACUGCUCAUACAGGGGGAUAGCAGCUGGAAACGGCUGGUAAUACCGCAUAAGCGCACAGUACCACAUGGUACAGUGUGAAAAACUCCGGUGGUAUGAGAUGGACCCGCGUCUGAUUAGCUGGUUGGCGGGGUAACGGCCCACCAAGGGCGACGAUCAGUAGCCGGCUGAGAGGGUGACCGGCCACAUUGGGACUGAGACACGGCCCAAACUCCUACGGGAGGCAGCAGUGGGGAAUAUUGCACAAUGGGGGAAACCCUGAUGCAGCGACGCCGCGUGAAGGAAGAAGUAUCUCGGUAUGUAAACUUCUAUCAGCAGGGAAGAUAGUGACGGUACCUGACUAAGAAGCCCCGGCUAACUACGUGCCAGCAGCCGCGGUAAUACGUAGGGGGCAAGCGUUAUCCGGAUUUACUGGGUGUAAAGGGAGCGUAGGCGGCGGAGCAAAGUCAGAAGUGAAAGCCCGGGGCUUCAAACCCCGGGACGGCUUUUGAAACUGCCCUGCUUGAUUUCAGGAGA
RNAcentral lists this ribosomal RNA (534 nucleotides) under uncultured bacterium. RNAcentral's name for it is "bacterial SSU rRNA". It matches the Rfam family "Bacterial small subunit ribosomal RNA", at positions 104 to 655 of the family's 1533-position model. The record is from RNAcentral.